AGCAGCCGCGGUAAUUCCAGCUCCAAUAGCGUAUAUUAAAGUUGCUGCAGUUAAAAAGCUCGUAGUUGAAUUUCGGGACUAAUAUGUCGGUCGUGCCUCGGUACGUACUGGUAUUUUUGGUUUCUCCCUUCUGACGAACCUUGAUGUCAUUAAUUUGGUGUCUUGGGAAAUCAGGACUGUUACUUUGAAAAAAUUAGAGUGUUUAAAGCAGGCUCACGCUUGAAUACAUUAGCAUGGAAUAAUGAAAUAGGACGUUUGAUUCUAUUUUGUUGGUUUCUAGGAUCGACGUAAUGAUUAAUAGGGAUAGUUGGGGGCAUUAGUAUCCAAUUGUCAGAGGUGAAAUUCUUGGAUUUAUUGAAGACUAACUACUGCGAAAGCAUUUGCCAAGGAUGUUUUCAUUAAUCAAGAACGAAAGUUAGGGGAUCGAAGACGAUCAGAUACCGUCGUAGUCUUAACCAUAAACUAUGCCGACUAGGGAUCGGAUGAUGUUAAUUUUUUAAUGACUCAUUCGGCGCCUUAC
RNAcentral lists this ribosomal RNA (520 nucleotides) under uncultured Glomus. RNAcentral's name for it is "SSU rRNA". It matches the Rfam family "Eukaryotic small subunit ribosomal RNA", at positions 569 to 1091 of the family's 1831-position model. Lineage: Eukaryota; Fungi; Glomeromycota; Glomeromycetes; Glomerales; Glomeraceae. The record is from RNAcentral.